Molecule: unclassified non-coding RNA, 251 nt
Filed under: Glomeraceae sp.
Lineage: Eukaryota; Fungi; Glomeromycota; Glomeromycetes; Glomerales; Glomeraceae
Description: partial contains 5.8S ribosomal RNA and internal transcribed spacer 2
Rfam family: 5.8S ribosomal RNA (bases 1-65)
Source: RNAcentral
GUGAAUCAUCGAAUCUUUGAACGCAAAUUGCACUCUCUUCGGAGAGUAUGCCUGUUUGAGGGUCAGUAUUAAUAAAAAUUGGGGUGUGGCUUUUUUGUGACGCUCUGGUGUGUGGGUCAUCUUAUUAUCCUUUAGGGUUUAAGAGGCUUAAAAUUGACUUUUUUUUCUCAAUUUAGAGGGACAUAAAUUCUUUUUUUUAUUUGUCUAUUCUUAUUGCCAAAAUCUUAUUAGAGGCGUUCAUAUCUUUUGGU